UGUUAAAAAUGUCAUUCAUUUAUGCUGUUAAAAAUAGACUGACUGACUAAAUAAUCAAACAGUAACAUAUGGUGUUCUAUGUGUAUCUCAUACUGACAUAUAUUGACCAAUUUUUAAAAGUGGAAAUAAAUGAAAUUUUUAACA
Molecule: non-coding RNA, 144 nt
Organism: Gossypium hirsutum (cotton)
Lineage: Eukaryota; Viridiplantae; Streptophyta; Magnoliopsida; Malvales; Malvaceae
Source: Rfam